AAAACAUUUCAUGAGAUUCAAAAAUCUGAUUUGCUUCCUCUUAUGUACUUUUUCACAUUUCUUUUUAUCCCUCCCCCAAUAUGUGAUAAUACACUGAUAUAUGAAGGACGUAUGCAUGUUUUAAAGGGCCAAGGAAAGAAGAUACUGAGCAAACUGCUGCUCUGGAAGUGGUCCCAAGUAAGAGGAGAAAUGACACAGGUGGCUCCUGCUUUGAAGAAGGGAAGAGAAAACAGAAUUCUGGGGGCAAGCUAAAAGGGAAACAACCGCGAGUGCAGUGGAUUGACUGAGAACUACCUGAUGUUCUGCAAUCCUGGAGGCUGUCCUGAGCGCUGAGUAGUCAUAUGCUGAAUGAUCGUCAGAACCUGCUGAACCCACUUCAAAGGAUAAACCACAUCGAAGCAACAGCACUGGCUUGGAAACUGUGAGAUUCGACAUGAAUUCUCUGAUGGAAGAAAUCCAGUUGCAUUAUGUGAUAGCAACCAGAUCAUAUGGAAUGCCAAAAGAAGCAGAACUUGAUGAAAGAAGAAGAGGAAGAGAUGGAGAAGCACUCAACCAAUUUGGAGUGUCUGAAGCUGGAGAGCUCAAACCCAGUGAUGACUCUGGUAAGAACUCAUUUCCUCAUUAUCUAUCAUUAUCUCCUCUGAAAAUGUAUCAUUUAACGUUUGAUAUCUCUGAACAUAAGUCUGGCGCUUUCUUUGCAUCGGUGUCAAAAUAA
RNAcentral lists this long non-coding RNA (715 nucleotides) under Bos indicus x Bos taurus (hybrid cattle). RNAcentral's name for it is "lncRNA (ENSBIXG00000028709.1)". The record is from RNAcentral. Lineage: Eukaryota; Metazoa; Chordata; Mammalia; Artiodactyla; Bovidae.